AAGAGGAGUGAGUUGGUCCCCAGGCCACACAGCCCAGUCCUUGACAGUAGCCACAGACCCUGUACCAGGGACUUGUUGCUAGCUUGGCUUUUGAAUCUGAAAAACUGCCUCAAUACCCCUUUGCCCCAUUUCAUAUUGAUCCUGGGAUCAGCAGGCCUGGGUCUCUUCUCUCCCUUUAGUUCAUUUAUUCAGUUCUAAAGAACCUUCCAUAUACCCAACACUAGGUGCUACAGGAUACAGAAAUGGAAGACUCAGACUCUCUCCUUGAGAAGCUCCUUGGUCUAGUGGGGAGGACAGACAUGUAGCCAGAUCACAAAAACACAGCACAGCACUUGCUAUAACCAGGGAGAACACGAGAAUCCCAUGGGAGGGACACCUGGUUCCCCUGAGCAAGCCCUGGGAAGCCAAGGACCUCACUGCUGUAUCCUCAGGACCUAGCACCCUCCCUGGCACAUAGCAGGUACUCCACACUAGCUGACUGAGUGAAUCGAUCCAUCAGUCAAGCUAUCAUCAUCAUAGUGGGAAGAGAAGUCACCAGGCAGAAUUUCUGGAGGACAUGACAGAUCCUAAGGGACUCCGUGAAGGCUGAGAAGAGCCCUCGGAUGAAAAUGGGCAUCGGAGCAUUGUAGGCAGAAAACCAUGUGUGAGAGAGAGAGAAGGCAGGAACAGCCCAUGGAGGUGCUGUGAGUGGUGCAGGGUCCAAGAGGCUUGGUGAGAGGGAAUGUGGAGGGACGAGGAAGCAGGUGAGGGUCACUGCCCCCUCCUUUCCUGCCUGCCCCGACCUCUCCCCUAUGGCACACAGUAUCCUAACCAUGGGUUUAGUGUCCACCAGAGUUAAAGGACCCAGAACCUUCUCACCACAUGGAAUAUAUGCAGCCUUAUGUGUCCAUGCCCAGGGCCUUUCAGGAUUUUAGAAGCUGCCACCGGCCGAGGGCAGGAUCAGGGAGGCAGGGAUUGGGGGGGAGGGGGAGGUGUGGGGAGACCCCCGACACCCUGCCAUCUUGGCUUUUCCAGCCCCAGGACUUCUUCUCCCCCUCAGGUGGGAGGUCAAUCCCCUUUACUGUGACACAGUGAAACAGAUCUACCCGUACAACAACAGCCAGCGGCUCCUCAAUGUCAUCGACAUGGCCAUCUUCGACUUCUUGAUAGCCUCAGAAGUGGCGGAGGUCCCAGAGGACAGAAGGUAACAAGCUCCCCUCUCUUCAAAGAACGGGAAGAAGCUGAAGGGGUCGUCACUCAUAAGGCAGGCAUCUCACCCUGCCACAGGCCUGAGUGGGCGUCAGAUUGGAAGUUGUAUGUUCACUUCACCAAUUGAGGGGAAACCAGGAAAUAUGGACCGGCACCAUUAUGAGAUGUUCACCAAGUUCGGGGAUGAUGGGUUCCUUAUUCACCUUGACAACGCCAGAGGGUUUGGACGACACUCCCAUGAUGAAAUCUCCAUCCUCUCGCCUCUCUCCCAGUGCUGCAUAAUAAAAAAGAAAACACUUUUGCACCUGCAGCUGCUGGCCCAAGCUGACUACAGACUCAGCGAUGUGAUGCGAGAAUCACUGCUAGAAGACCAGCUCAGCCCUGUCCUCACUGAACCCCACCUCCUUGCCCUGGAUCGAAGGCUCCAAACCAUCCUAAGGACAGUGGAGGGGUGCAUAGUGGCCCAUGGACAGCAGAGUGUCAUAGUCGACGGCCCAGUGGAACAAUCGGCCCCUGACUCCGGCCAGGCUAACUUGACAAGCUAAGGGCUGGAAGAGUCCAGUUUCAGAAAAUAUGCCUGGAGCCAGAGCAGCAGACUCGAGUGCCGACCCUGCUUCCUCACCUCCACCUGUUAAUGCUGGAAGUCAAGUCAGCUAGGAAGGAAGUAGGACAUUUUCUCAAACAGCAAGCGGGGCCCACGGAACUUGAUCUUUACUCCUUGGUGCACCGCUUCUGUUGUGCACUGCCUUGCUCCGUUUUUCCCAAAAAGCACUGGCUUCAUCAAGGUCACCGACGACCUCCUGAGUGCACUGGGAAAUCUGGGUAUAGGUCAGGCCUGGCAGCCUUGAUCCCAGGAGGGUACUAAUGGUAACAAGUCAAAUAAAAGGACAUCAAGUGGA
Molecule: small RNA, 2087 nt
Filed under: Pongo abelii (Sumatran orangutan)
Lineage: Eukaryota; Metazoa; Chordata; Mammalia; Primates; Hominidae
Description: retained intron
Source: RNAcentral